RNAcentral lists this ribosomal RNA (619 nucleotides) under Streptomyces halstedii. RNAcentral describes it as "bacterial SSU rRNA". It matches the Rfam family "Bacterial small subunit ribosomal RNA", at positions 75 to 706 of the family's 1533-position model. Lineage: Bacteria; Bacillati; Actinomycetota; Actinomycetes; Kitasatosporales; Streptomycetaceae. The record is from RNAcentral.
UGAAGCCUUUCGGGGUGGAUUAGUGGCGAACGGGUGAGUAACACGUGGGCAAUCUGCCCUUCACUCUGGGACAAGCCCUGGAAACGGGGUCUAAUACCGGAUAACACUCUGUCCCGCAUGGGACGGGGUUAAAAGCUCCGGCGGUGAAGGAUGAGCCCGCGGCCUAUCAGCUUGUUGGUGGGGUGAUGGCCUACCAAGGCGACGACGGGUAGCCGGCCUGAGAGGGCGACCGGCCACACUGGGACUGAGACACGGCCCAGACUCCUACGGGAGGCAGCAGUGGGGAAUAUUGCACAAUGGGCGAAAGCCUGAUGCAGCGACGCCGCGUGAGGGAUGACGGCCUUCGGGUUGUAAACCUCUUUCAGCAGGGAAGAAGCGAAAGUGACGGUACCUGCAGAAGAAGCGCCGGCUAACUACGUGCCAGCAGCCGCGGUAAUACGUAGGGCGCAAGCGUUGUCCGGAAUUAUUGGGCGUAAAGAGCUCGUAGGCGGCUUGUCACGUCGGAUGUGAAAGCCCGGGGCUUAACCCCGGGUCUGCAUUCGAUACGGGCUAGCUAGAGUGUGGUAGGGGAGAUCGGAAUUCCUGGUGUAGCGGUGAAAUGCGCAGAUAUCAGGAGGAA